CCUACGGGUGGCAGCAGUGGGGAAUAUUGCACAAUGGGGGGAACCCUGAAGCAGCGACGCCGCGUGGGGGAAGAAGGGCCUAGGAGCGUAAAGCCCUGUCAGCAGGGAAGAAAAUGACGGUACCUGACGAAGAAGCACCGGCUAACUACGUGCCAGCAGCCGCGGUAAUACGUAGGGGGCAAGCGUUACUCGGAUUGACUGGGUGUAAAGGGGGCGCAGACGGGGAUGCAAGCCAGGAGUGAAAUCCUGGGGCCCAACCCCGGGACUGCUAUUGGAACUGCGUGGCUGGAGUGCAGGAGGGGCAGGCGGAAUUCUUGGUGUAGCGGUGAAAUGCGUAGAUAUCAGGAGGAACACCGGUGGCGAAGGCAGCCUGCUGGACUGCAACUGACGUUGAGGCCCGAAAGCGUGGGGAGCAAACAGGAUUAGAUACCCCAGUAGUC
Molecule: ribosomal RNA, 440 nt
Filed under: uncultured bacterium
Lineage: Bacteria
Description: partial 16S ribosomal RNA
Rfam family: Bacterial small subunit ribosomal RNA
Source: RNAcentral